AACGAACGCUGGCGGCAGGCCUAACACAUGCAAGUCGAGCGAGGACUUCGGUCCUAGCGGCGGACGGGUGAGUAACGCGUGGGAACGUGCCCUUUGCUUCGGAAUAGCCCUGGGAAACUGGGAGUAAUACCGGAUGAGCCCUUUGGGGGAAAGAUUUAUCGGCGAAGGAUCGGCCCGCGUUGGAUUAGGUAGUUGGUGGGGUAAUGGCCUACCAAGCCGACGAUCCAUAGCUGGUUUGAGAGGAUGAUCAGCCACACUGGGACUGAGACACGGCCCAGACUCCUGCGGGAGGCAGCAGUGGGGAAUCUUAGACAAUGAGGGAAACCCUGAUCUAGCCAUGCCGCGUGAGCGAUGAAGGCCUUAGGGUUGUAAAGCUCUUUCAGCUGGGAAGAUAAUGACGGUACCAGCAGAAGAAGCCCCGGCUAACUCCGUG
This 433-nucleotide ribosomal RNA is filed under the name uncultured bacterium. Its description in RNAcentral is "partial 16S ribosomal RNA". It matches the Rfam family "Bacterial small subunit ribosomal RNA", at positions 29 to 507 of the family's 1533-position model. The record is from RNAcentral.